This 387-nucleotide ribosomal RNA is filed under the name uncultured bacterium. RNAcentral's name for it is "bacterial SSU rRNA". It matches the Rfam family "Bacterial small subunit ribosomal RNA", at positions 28 to 416 of the family's 1533-position model. The record is from RNAcentral.
GACGAACGCUGGCGGCGUGCUUAACACAUGCAAGUCGAGCGGUAAGGCCCUUUCGGGGGUACACGAGCGGCGAACGGGUGAGUAACACGUGGGUGACCUGCCUCUAGCUCUGGGAUAAGCCUGGGAAGCUGGGUCUAAUACCGGAUAUGACCUCGCGGUGCAUGUUGCGGGGUGGAAAGCCUUGUGCGGCUAGGGAUGGGCCCGCGGCCUAUCAGCUUGUUGGUGGGGUGAUGGCCUACCAAGGCGACGACGGGUAGCCGGCCUGAGAGGGCGACCGGCCACACUGGGACUGAGACACGGCCCAGACUCCUACGGGAGGCAGCAGUGGGGAAUCUUGCGCAAUGGGCGAAAGCCUGACGCAGCGACGCCGCGUGAGGGAUGACGGCC